UUAGUAAGACAGAGGUGAAAUGCCCGGGCUUAACCUGGGAACUGCCUUUGUGACUGCUAGGCUAGAGUGUGUCAGAGGGGGGUAGAAUUCCACGUGUAGCAGUGAAAUGCGUAGAUAUGUGGAGGAAUACCGAUGGCGAAGGCAGCCCCCUGGGAUAACACUGACGCUCAUGCACGAAAGCGUGGGGAGCAAAC
Molecule: ribosomal RNA, 194 nt
Filed under: uncultured bacterium
Lineage: Bacteria
Description: partial 16S ribosomal RNA
Rfam family: Bacterial small subunit ribosomal RNA
Source: RNAcentral